This is a small nuclear RNA of Homo sapiens (human), 105 nucleotides long. NCBI's taxonomy places the organism in Eukaryota, Metazoa, Chordata, Mammalia, Primates, Hominidae. The record is from Ensembl.
GUGCUCGCUUCAGCAAUACAUAUACUAAAAUUGGAAUGAUACAGAGAAGGUUAGCAUGGCCUCUGUGCAAGGAUGACACAAAUUCAUGAAACGUUUCUUUUUAAA